AUUAGUUUGCUUCCUAAAACUAUCCAAGAGGAUGAAGCAUAAUUCAAUUUUUAGAAACAAAACUAGAGAUUAACAUCAAUUUCAGAAUCCCAAUCUCAUUGGACAGUAAUUUUCUUACUAACGGAUCAAUAUACUGAGACUCAAACUUAAAUCCAACAUACUUAAUUACAGACUGAGAAUCAUGAAAAUAGCCACUAGAAGCUCUAUCUCGUUAAUGAGUCAUCUGUUUAAACAAGUAUAUGAACCAGCUAAUAUGGAAUUAAUUUAAACUAAAGUGAACUAUUCUAUGAAAUUAACUACAACAAUUACUUAGUAGGUAUAUGCAUCAGCUAGUAGGGAACUAACUACAACUAGCACUUAACUCAAAAAACAAACUCACAUGAAGCUAAGACAUAACAGUUUAUAGUCCUGUUAUUACAUAACCAAUUUCAGUUCAGUCAUGCAUUUUGAAUUUGAUUACAAUGUAUAACCACCAAAUCACAACAAAUCAUCUAAACGUAACGAGAUAACAAAUCUAAAACAGAGAAUUGGCUUCAGUGUUCAUGUCAUGUUGUCAACAGGAGGUGAUACAUCAAAACAGGCUCGAAAUGUGUACCUGGAAAUAACAAUAUAACAGGAAUAAGGAGAGGUUAGCAACAGCAGAGCAUGCAACAUUGAUUUGGAGUUUCAAAUACCAACAAUACAACAAUUUUAGCCCAGAAAUGAAUCAGUGAUCCAGGAAGGUUUUCAAAACCAAAAUAGUACCAAUAUAACCAACAACGAACCCAGCAAUCCACACACUCGAUGAAUAACCCACAGCCAACUCAAAUAAACUAACACUAGUGCUCAAAUGAUUCAAAGCACUUUAACAUUUCAAAUAUUAAACAGAAGCAAAAGAACUCAAGCUAUUUUUGGUUUCAAAAUGAGCUAGAAAGUUGAACUGAAGCUGGAACUCGAAAACAACCUAAAGAAAAGCAGUAAAACAAUCUUUGUUUUUGGAUUUUUUAUUGUAUUUCUACUGUUUUUGGUUUUUAAGUUUGAAUUUCAAAUCUUAGAUAUGAAAACUGGAGAACACACUUUGGGGGGAAUGUUUUAGAGCUGAACCUUAUUAAUUAAGGCACUUAGUCAUGCCUUUUAUAGGCAAAGACUAGGGCAUCCCUCAAUUUCUGUUUACACUCUUAGUCCUUAUUUAUUUUCAGAUUCAGUCCUUUAUCUUUUAACUUGCAACCCAAGUUACUAUCCUAAAUUUACUGAAAUCUAACUUGAGCUCUAUUCUUGAAGAUUCUGGGGAAUUAUAUUCUAAUCUACAACAUUCAUGUUCAAUUCCAAUUACCCAAAUACCCCUAAAUACCCCCUGAAAUUACUCCCCUAGUUAACUGACCCAACCCUCUUGUUAGAAUUCAAUUACAGCCAAACAGAUCUUAAACUAAAACUGAUCUAACUAAUAUGAUUAAUCUGAAGUUUAAUUCUAAACAUAGAAAUCUUACAACAUUGAAAUUCUUCAAUUUAAAAUCAAACAAAACCAAAUUGAACCAACUAAGAAGAACUAACGAACAGAAAUCAAAACAAUACGAAAUGAUAGCUAAACAUGGACGCCUACUGUCGAAAUCAAGUGAGUACAUUACUAAAACAAACUAAUUAUAUGAUAAAGGAAAAAUCAGAAACCUAACUGAAAUCCAAACUUGCCACAGAAAUAAUGAAAAAAAUUCUAAAUAAACAAAGCAAUACUAAUAAUAAAGUAAAAGCUGAAAACAGGGAAGAAAGAAACAAUCACAAGGUUCACUGAAUUGUCUAGGGUUCUACCGCAUCGCGAUUCAAAGUUGGAGAGGAUUUGAGGCGAUUUUAUAGCUAAUGAUGAUGGAUUUGCAAUGAGGUAAGUGAGGAAGGGCCUUGGUGCAAAUUUGGGGUUUUUGUGACAAACUUGGGCUUUGAGGUCAUUGAAUCAAGAUUCGAAACAUCCAGUUGUGAUUCGAAUCAAAAUAGGGCUAGAUAUGGAAAGAGGAGAAGGGGGAACCUAGGGUGUAAAUUUGAGAUUAAUUUGCGGUGGCGCCGGCGAAGGCACGGUGGUCUGACGGUGGGUAGCAGUGGGAGACGGAGGGUACGAGGAAGAUGACUUGUUUGUCUCUAAAAUUUUAAGGAGUUUAUUACAAUUUUAUGUAAUCUCCUUGGAUGGAU
This 2154-nucleotide long non-coding RNA is filed under the name Nicotiana benthamiana. Its description in RNAcentral is "long non-coding RNA (NBEN_LNC039740)". The record is from RNAcentral. Lineage: Eukaryota; Viridiplantae; Streptophyta; Magnoliopsida; Solanales; Solanaceae.